Molecule: ribosomal RNA, 833 nt
Filed under: uncultured eukaryote
Lineage: Eukaryota
Description: SSU rRNA
Rfam family: Eukaryotic small subunit ribosomal RNA
Source: RNAcentral
GCUCGUAGUUGGAUUUCUGGCAGGGAGUAGAUGCCCGUGUGAUACGUGCGCAGAUACCCCCUGCCAUCCUUCUGUUAACCCUCCAGAUCUUAACUGCUCUGUUGGGAGCCCAGAUAUUUUACCUUGAGAAAAUUAGAGUGUUUCAGGCAGGCUAGCGCCGGAACACAUUAGCAUGGAAUAAUAGAAUAGGACUUUAUACCUCUUCUGUUGGUCUGAGGGGAUGAAGUAAUGAUUAAUAGGGAUAGUUGGGGGCAUUAGUACUUUACUGUCAGAGGUGAAAUUCUCGGAUUUGUAAAAGACUAACUUAUGCGAAAGCAUUUGCCAAGGAUGUUUUCAUUAAUCAAGAACGAAAGUUAGGGGAUCAAAAGACGAUCAGAUACCGUCCCUAGUCUUAACCCAUAAACUAUGCCGACUCGGGGAUCGGGGGGCGAGAGUUAUCCGGCCUUCCGCACCGUAUGAGAAAAUCAAAGCUUUUGGUUCUGGGGGGAGUAUGGUCGCAAGGCUGAAACUUAAAGGAAUUGACGGAAGGGCACCACCAGGCGUGGAGCUUGCGGCUCAAUUUUGACUCAACACGGGGGAACUUAACAAGUCCAGACAUAGUGAGGAUUGGACAGAUUGAUAAGCUCUUUUCUUGAUCUAUGGGUGGUGGUGCAUGGGCCGUUCUUAAGUUGGUGGAGUGAUUUGUCUGGUUAAUUCCGUAACGAACGAGACCUUAGCCUACUAAAUAGUCGCUCCAAUCAUGAUUGGUAGCGACUUUCUUAGAGGGACUUUGUAAGCAAAUACAAAGAAGUUUGAGGCAAUAACAGGUCUGUGAUGCCUUAGAUGUCCUGGGC